RNAcentral lists this ribosomal RNA (468 nucleotides) under uncultured bacterium. RNAcentral's name for it is "partial 16S ribosomal RNA". It matches the Rfam family "Bacterial small subunit ribosomal RNA", at positions 28 to 507 of the family's 1533-position model. The record is from RNAcentral.
GACGAACGCUGGCGGCGUGCCUAACACAUGCAAGUCGAACGGAAAGGCCCUGCUUUUGUGGGGUGCUCGAGUGGCGAACGGGUGAGUAAUACGUGAGUACCCUUCCCUUGACUUUGUGAUAACUUCCGGAAACUGGGGCUAAUCCCCGAUCGGAGCUCCUGCUGAAUGGUGGGGGUUGGGAAGCUCCGGCGGUUGGGGGGGGCGUGGCGGCUUAUCCGCGUUGUGGUGGGGUAGUGGUACCCCAACGAGUUGCCGGGUAGCCGGUCUGAGAGAGUGACCGGCCACAUAGGGACUGAGAGACGGCCGAGACUCCUACGGGAGGCAGCAGUGGGAAAUAUUGCACAAGGGGCGGAGGCCUGAUGCAGCAGCGCCGCGGGCGGGAUAGCGGCCUUCUGGUGAUAAACCGCUUUCGCCUGAGACGAAGCGGGAGAGGCGGGAACGGGUAGAGUAGGACCGGCUAACUACGUG